UUAUUUAUUUUAUUAUAUUUAUUUUUUGUUUAUUUAAUUAUUUAAUAAAAAUAAUUUUAUUGAAUUUUGUCUUAGUAUAUUUUGUAGAAUUGAUUUUUUAAAUUAUAGUUUAUUGGUAAUGUAAUUGUUUUAUGAAAUAUUAUUNNNNNNUCAAAAACANGUCCUCNUGAAAAUACUUUGAGGUCUGGCCGGCUCNCUGAGCGGAUUUUUAAAGAGCCGCGGUAUUUUGNCCGNGCAAAGGNAGCAUAAUCAUUAGUCUNUUAAUUAGUGGCUGGAANGAAUGGCUUGACGAGAAAUCAACUGUCUCUUAAUAAAUUUUUGAAUUUAAC
This 329-nucleotide ribosomal RNA is filed under the name Schistocerca lineata (birdwing grasshopper). RNAcentral's name for it is "partial 16S ribosomal RNA". Lineage: Eukaryota; Metazoa; Arthropoda; Insecta; Orthoptera; Acrididae. The record is from RNAcentral.